CCUCUUCCCAACCCGGCUAAGACCGCCUAUAUAAAGGGCGUCGGGCAACCGACUAUGGCGAUAAACGCUGCGUGGAAUAGACGUUACGGACCCGGGGGCGGUACCCGGCGUCUCCACCAUUUCCGGCCCGCGUACCUGGGACGGCUUCUGGGGACGAAAUAGGAUCGACGUGCGUAAUAAAGACCCAGUUUUCGCUCGGUAUGGUUCCGCCGUCAUCGGGCUAAACUCAGAAGUGCCAACGACAAUCGUGUAGCACUCGCUGCCUAAUUAAUUAGGCAAGCGCGGUUCGGGGGGCACCGGGCAACAGAAGCCCCCCACU
This 319-nucleotide transfer-messenger RNA is filed under the name Elstera litoralis. RNAcentral's name for it is "Alphaproteobacteria transfer-messenger RNA". It matches the Rfam family "Alphaproteobacteria transfer-messenger RNA". From Rfam's summary of the family: Bacterial tmRNA, also known as 10Sa RNA or SsrA, is named for its dual tRNA and mRNA-like properties. Its role is to liberate the mRNA from a stalled ribosome. Lineage: Bacteria; Pseudomonadati; Pseudomonadota; Alphaproteobacteria; Rhodospirillales; Rhodospirillaceae. The record is from Rfam by way of RNAcentral.